This 484-nucleotide ribosomal RNA is filed under the name uncultured bacterium. Its description in RNAcentral is "partial 16S ribosomal RNA". It matches the Rfam family "Bacterial small subunit ribosomal RNA", at positions 28 to 507 of the family's 1533-position model. The record is from RNAcentral.
AUUGAACGCUGGCGGCAUGCUUUACACAUGCAAGUCGAACGGCAGCGCGGGCUUCGGCCUGGCGGCGAGUGGCGAACGGGUGAGUAAUACAUCGGAACGUGCCCAGACGUGGGGGAUAGCUCGGCGAAAGCCGGAUUAAUACCGCAUACGACCUGAGGGUGAAAUCGGGGGAUCUUCGGACCUCGCGCUAUUGGAGCGGGCGAUGUCCGAUUAGCUAGUUGGGGGGGUAAAGGCCUAGCAAGGCGACGAUCUGUAGCUGGUCUGAGGGGACGACCAGCCACACUGUGACUGAGACACGGCCCAGACUCCUACGGGAGGAAGCGGUGGGGAAUUUUGGAGGAUGGGGGAAAGCCUGAUCCAGCACUGCCGCGUGUGUGAUGAUGGACUUCGGCUUGUAGAGCACUUUUGGCCGGAACGAAAAGGACUGUGCUAACACCACAGUUCGAUGACGGUACCCGCAGAAUAAGCACCGGCUAACUCCGUG